This 369-nucleotide ribosomal RNA is filed under the name unidentified archaeon. Its description in RNAcentral is "bacterial SSU rRNA". It matches the Rfam family "Archaeal small subunit ribosomal RNA", at positions 90 to 460 of the family's 1478-position model. The record is from RNAcentral.
UCAGUAACACGUAGUCAACAUGCCCAGGGGACAUGGAUAACCUCGGGAAACUGAGGAUAAACCGCGAUAGGUCAUAAUAUCUGGAAUGAUUUAUGGCUCAAAUCUACAUGGCCCCUGGAUUGGACUGCGGCCGAUCAGGCUGUUGGUGAGGUAAUGGCCCACCAAGACCUAAAACCGGUACGGGCUCUGAGAGGAGAAGCCCGGAGAUGGGCACUGAGACAAGGGCCCAGGCCCUAUGGGGCGCAGCAGGCGCGAAAACUCUGCAAUAAGCGAAAGCUUGACAGGGUUAUUCUGAGUGAUUUCCGCUAAGGAAAUCUUUUGGCACCUCUAAAAAUGGUGCAGAAUAAGGGGUGGGCAAGCCUGGUGCCA